Megachile rotundata (alfalfa leafcutting bee) is the source of this 514-nucleotide long non-coding RNA. The record is from RefSeq and is a predicted model, not a curated record. NCBI's taxonomy places the organism in Eukaryota, Metazoa, Arthropoda, Insecta, Hymenoptera, Megachilidae.
UCCUGGUGUCCUGGAAGACCGCUAUUAAUCGCAGAAUUUCCCCAGCUCUGAUUGUAGUCUUCGUAUAAUGAGCUCGCAGAUUACCGUUUUCUAUUGGUGAAGUUGUUGAGAUAAAGAAUAUAAUAUUUCAAGUGAGCUGUUUCUGGAUGUAAAUAUUGCAGAUUUGGAAAGGUAUCAACAAUUGGCUGUUACAAAAUGACUGAACUCAGUAAUUCUAUUCACACCGACUAUUGAAUUGUUCUUACUCACCCAUUUUCGAGUGAGUCAAAAUGUACGCUCGCAAAGGUGCAGCCAAAAGGAAUGCAGGUACUCCUGCUCGAACCAGAGAGUCUACUCUUCUGUAAACUCUCGCAUUACCCGUUGUAUUGUUGCCAGAUAUCACAGAAAACCAUCCUGAAAUAAACAAAAAAAAAUAAAUUUGAGUUUUAAUUAUAAAUAUAGCAUGAGAAAAGUUUGAUCAAAUUUCGCUUUUGAACGUCGAUUGAAUUCAAAUUGAUGGAUUACCUAUUUUACC